Molecule: ribosomal RNA, 230 nt
Filed under: uncultured Streptococcaceae bacterium
Lineage: Bacteria; Bacillati; Bacillota; Bacilli; Lactobacillales; Streptococcaceae
Description: partial 16S ribosomal RNA
Rfam family: Bacterial small subunit ribosomal RNA
Source: RNAcentral
AGUAACGCGUAGGUAACCUACCUCAUAGCUGGGGAUAACUAUUGGAAACGAUAGCUAAUACCGCAUAAGAGAGACUAACGCAUGUUAGUAAUUUAAAAGGGGCAAUUGCUCCACUAUGAGAUGGACCUGCGUUGUAUUAGCUAGUUGGUGAGGUAAAGGCUCACCAAGGCGACGAUACAUAGCCGACCUGAGAGGGUGAUCGGCCACACUGGAACUGGGACACGGUCCAG